This 2915-nucleotide ribosomal RNA is filed under the name Pseudomonas sp. HLS-6. RNAcentral's name for it is "bacterial LSU rRNA". It matches the Rfam family "Bacterial large subunit ribosomal RNA". Lineage: Bacteria; Pseudomonadati; Pseudomonadota; Gammaproteobacteria; Pseudomonadales; Pseudomonadaceae. The record is from RNAcentral.
GUUAUAUGGUCAAGUGAAGAAGCGCAUACGGUGGAUGCCUUGGCAGUCAGAGGCGAUGAAAGACGUGGUAGCCUGCGAUAAGCUUCGGGGAGUCGGCAAACAGACUUUGAUCCGGAGAUCUCUGAAUGGGGGAACCCACCUAGGAUAACCUAGGUAUCUUGUACUGAAUACAUAGGUGCAAGAGGCGAACCAGGGGAACUGAAACAUCUAAGUACCCUGAGGAAAAGAAAUCAACCGAGAUUCCCUUAGUAGUGGCGAGCGAACGGGGACUAGCCCUUAAGUUGAUUUGAGAUUAGCGGAACGCUCUGGAAAGUGCGGCCAUAGUGGGUGAUAGCCCUGUACGCGAAAAUCUCUUAUCAAUGAAAUCGAGUAGGACGGAGCACGAGAAACUUUGUCUGAAUAUGGGGGGACCAUCCUCCAAGGCUAAAUACUACUGACUGACCGAUAGUGAACUAGUACCGUGAGGGAAAGGCGAAAAGAACCCCGGAGAGGGGAGUGAAAUAGAUCCUGAAACCGUAUGCGUACAAGCAGUGGGAGCCUACUUUGUUAGGUGACUGCGUACCUUUUGUAUAAUGGGUCAGCGACUUAUAUUCAGUGGCGAGCUUAACCGAAUAGGGGAGGCGUAGCGAAAGCGAGUCUUAAUAGGGCGUUUAGUCGCUGGGUAUAGACCCGAAACCGGGCGAUCUAUCCAUGGGCAGGUUGAAGGUUAGGUAACACUGACUGGAGGACCGAACCGACUACCGUUGAAAAGUUAGCGGAUGACCUGUGGAUCGGAGUGAAAGGCUAAUCAAGCUCGGAGAUAGCUGGUUCUCCUCGAAAGCUAUUUAGGUAGCGCCUCAUGUAUCACUGUAGGGGGUAGAGCACUGUUUCGGCUAGGGGGUCAUCCCGACUUACCAAACCGAUGCAAACUCCGAAUACCUACAAGUGCCGAGCAUGGGAGACACACGGCGGGUGCUAACGUCCGUCGUGAAAAGGGAAACAACCCAGACCGUCAGCUAAGGUCCCAAAGUCAUGGUUAAGUGGGAAACGAUGUGGGAAGGCUUAGACAGCUAGGAGGUUGGCUUAGAAGCAGCCACCCUUUAAAGAAAGCGUAAUAGCUCACUAGUCGAGUCGGCCUGCGCGGAAGAUGUAACGGGGCUCAAACCAUGCACCGAAGCUACGGGUAUCACUUAGGUGAUGCGGUAGAGGAGCGUUCUGUAAGCCUGUGAAGGUGAGUUGAGAAGCUUGCUGGAGGUAUCAGAAGUGCGAAUGCUGACAUGAGUAACGACAAUGGGAGUGAAAAACUCCCACGCCGAAAGACCAAGGUUUCCUGCGCAACGUUAAUCGACGCAGGGUUAGUCGGUCCCUAAGGCGAGGCUGAAAAGCGUAGUCGAUGGAAAACAGGUUAAUAUUCCUGUACUUCUGGUUAUUGCGAUGGAGGGACGGAGAAGGCUAGGCCAGCUUGGCGUUGGUUGUCCAAGUUUAAGGUGGUAGGCUGAGAUCUUAGGUAAAUCCGGGAUCUUAAGGCCGAGAGCUGAUGACGAGUGCUCUUUAGAGCGCGAAGUGGUUGAUGCCAUGCUUCCAAGAAAAGCUUCUAAGCUUCAGAUAACCAGGAACCGUACCCCAAACCGACACAGGUGGUUGGGUAGAGAAUACCAAGGCGCUUGAGAGAACUCGGGUGAAGGAACUAGGCAAAAUGGCACCGUAACUUCGGGAGAAGGUGCGCCGGUGAGGGUGAAGGACUUGCUCCGUAAGCCCAUGCCGGUCGAAGAUACCAGGCCGCUGCGACUGUUUAUUAAAAACACAGCACUCUGCAAACACGAAAGUGGACGUAUAGGGUGUGACGCCUGCCCGGUGCCGGAAGGUUAAUUGAUGGGGUUAGCUAACGCGAAGCUCUUGAUCGAAGCCCCGGUAAACGGCGGCCGUAACUAUAACGGUCCUAAGGUAGCGAAAUUCCUUGUCGGGUAAGUUCCGACCUGCACGAAUGGCGUAACGAUGGCGGCGCUGUCUCCACCCGAGACUCAGUGAAAUUGAAAUCGCUGUGAAGAUGCAGUGUAUCCGCGGCUAGACGGAAAGACCCCGUGAACCUUUACUAUAGCUUUGCACUGGACUUUGAAUUUGCUUGUGUAGGAUAGGUGGGAGGCUUUGAAGCGUGGACGCCAGUUCGCGUGGAGCCAUCCUUGAAAUACCACCCUGGCAACUUUGAGGUUCUAACUCAGGUCCGUCAUCCGGAUCGAGGACAGUGUAUGGUGGGUAGUUUGACUGGGGCGGUCUCCUCCUAAAGAGUAACGGAGGAGUACGAAGGUGCGCUCAGACCGGUCGGAAAUCGGUCGUAGAGUAUAAAGGCAAAAGCGCGCUUGACUGCGAGACAGACACGUCGAGCAGGUACGAAAGUAGGUCUUAGUGAUCCGGUGGUUCUGUAUGGAAGGGCCAUCGCUCAACGGAUAAAAGGUACUCCGGGGAUAACAGGCUGAUACCGCCCAAGAGUUCAUAUCGACGGCGGUGUUUGGCACCUCGAUGUCGGCUCAUCACAUCCUGGGGCUGAAGCCGGUCCCAAGGGUAUGGCUGUUCGCCAUUUAAAGUGGUACGCGAGCUGGGUUUAGAACGUCGUGAGACAGUUCGGUCCCUAUCUGCCGUGGACGUUUGAGAUUUGAGAGGGGCUGCUCCUAGUACGAGAGGACCGGAGUGGACGAACCUCUGGUGUUCCGGUUGUCACGCCAGUGGCAUUGCCGGGUAGCUAUGUUCGGAAGAGAUAACCGCUGAAAGCAUCUAAGCGGGAAACUUGCCUCAAGAUGAGAUCUCACUGGAGCCUUGAGCUCCCUGAAGGGCCGUCGAAGACUACGACGUUGAUAGGUUGGGUGUGUAAGUGCUGUGAGGCAUUGAGCUAACCAAUACUAAUUGCCCGUGAGGCUUGACCAUAUAACACCCAAGCAAUU